CCUACGGGAGGCUGCAGUGAGGAAUAUUGGUCUAUGGACGCAAGUCUGAACCAGCCAUGCCGCGUGCAGGAAGACGGCUCUAUGAGUUGUAAACUGCUUUUGUACGAGGGUAAACGCAGAUACGCGUAUCUGUCUGAAAGUAUCGUACGAAUAAGGAUCGGCUAACUCCGUGCCAGCAGCCGCGGUAAUACGGAGGAUUCAAGCGUUAUCCGGAUUUAUUGGGUUUAAAGGGUGCGUAGGCGGUCGGAUAAGUUAGAGGUGAAAUCCCGAGGCUCAACUUCGGAAUUGCCUCUGAUACUGGUCGGCUAGAGAGUAGUAGAGGUAGGCGGAAUGUAUGGUGUAGCGGUGAAAUGCUUAGAGAUCAUACAGAACACCGAUUGCGAAGGCAGCAUACCGGCGCUCGACUGACGCUCAUGCACGAAAGUGUGGGUAUCGAACAGGAUUAGAUACCCUAGUAGUC
This 460-nucleotide ribosomal RNA is filed under the name uncultured bacterium. Its description in RNAcentral is "partial 16S ribosomal RNA". It matches the Rfam family "Bacterial small subunit ribosomal RNA", at positions 338 to 795 of the family's 1533-position model. The record is from RNAcentral.